UUAACUAUUAUAUAGUACUCAGACAUUACUAAACAAACGAGUUUGGGUCCUCUGGCAGGCGCAGUCAGCCGGAGCCGACGCCUCGAGAGGCGGCCUGCCAAAGCAACAAAGGUAUGUAUACACGGUUUGAGAAUUACCCAUUUCAAAAAACGGGGCGUUCUUUAAUGAUCCUUCCGCAGGUUCACCUACGGAAA
Molecule: unclassified non-coding RNA, 194 nt
Filed under: uncultured fungus
Lineage: Eukaryota; Fungi
Description: sequence contains ITS1
Source: RNAcentral